This 602-nucleotide small RNA is filed under the name Arabidopsis thaliana (thale cress). Its description in RNAcentral is "ATSL193380". Lineage: Eukaryota; Viridiplantae; Streptophyta; Magnoliopsida; Brassicales; Brassicaceae. The record is from RNAcentral.
CUUUAAACACAUCCCAACCCAAAGUAUAAGCGCCCACCUAGUCAUAUCUAGUCCGAAAAAUGCGAACUAGAACUACAUGAGACACUAUCUCUGUCGUUACGAACCUAACACUUUCUACAAGGCUUAAUCGGAAUAAGACCUCACAAACACUCACAAGUGAUAUAGGGCUUGAAAGAAAGUCUAGGUUUGGGUUUGGGUUAACUGCUCUAAUAAGGAGAGUCAGCUACUUGGAUUAACAAGAGUGAUCAAAAUGAAUAAGAAAAUCCAAGUAUUUUAGGGUAUCCAUGAGUUCAAAUUUGAUGCAGACAUGAUAAUUAAAGAUCAGAUUCAGGUUCAAAUGGAUAGGGAAUGUUAUCAGAUCAUGACAAUGUGGUCGUGUAGAGCAGUCUAGGCAUGGUUCAGUUUUAUUUCAAAUUCAUUGAUUAUGCAACAGACAACAAGCAACGAGGGCACUGAGUUUAUCCGGUGAACCAAAAUGCUUACAAGGCUAUCUCAUCAUUAUCCCCUAUGCACAUGCAACAAUCCUAAAUGAAACACUCUAGACUCAAUCCUAAAUGUAAUGCAAUUACAUGAACACUCUUUUUUUGUGAAAUCAUUUUCUU